Jaculus jaculus (lesser Egyptian jerboa) is the source of this 126-nucleotide small nuclear RNA. Lineage: Eukaryota; Metazoa; Chordata; Mammalia; Rodentia; Dipodidae. The record is from Ensembl.
GUGGUGGCAGUUACAAACAUGGCACCCAGGGGCAGCACAUAUACUAAAGUUGGAACGAUACAGAGAAGAUUAGCAUGGCCCCUGCGCAAGGAUGGCACACUAAUUUGUGAAGCAUUCCAUGUUUUU